AAAAUAGCUAAUGAACUUGUAUAAGUAUAUAUUUUGAAAGUAUAAAAAAGAGGGAAAAUCCUCUAUUAGCUU
RNAcentral lists this transfer RNA (72 nucleotides) under Ceratopus sp. CG351. Its description in RNAcentral is "tRNA-Ser". Lineage: Eukaryota; Metazoa; Arthropoda; Insecta; Coleoptera; Curculionidae. The record is from RNAcentral.